RNAcentral lists this long non-coding RNA (384 nucleotides) under Priapulus caudatus. RNAcentral's name for it is "uncharacterized LOC106810420, transcript variant X2". The record is from RNAcentral. Lineage: Eukaryota; Metazoa; Priapulida; Priapulimorpha; Priapulimorphida; Priapulidae.
UAUAAAUACUCCCCAGGUUGACGAUACUAGUCACCAGUUGCUUAACACUUGAAGGACAGAGUGGAUCGUCGCCAGUGACAACGUCCAGGACAACAUGAACACUCUCGCUGUUACCGUACUCGUCAGCUGCCUUGCCGGCGUUCUCUGUGACCACAGCGGCUACGGAGGCGUGAGCGGAAACGCCGCCUUCAUCGGCUGGAUACGGCAGUAACGUUUCGGCGCGGAUACGGACACGCGUAGCGGGAGCGUACGGAGGUCACCUCGGCGGGGAUACGGAAGUCACGUGGUACGGUACGGAAGUAGGUCGGAACAGAUACGGAGGUCACCUGGGCGUGGAUACGGAAGCGGAUACGGCAGUCAUCUGAGCAUCGGAUACGGAAGUCA